Molecule: transfer RNA, 68 nt
Filed under: Bavayia kunyie
Lineage: Eukaryota; Metazoa; Chordata; Lepidosauria; Squamata; Diplodactylidae
Description: tRNA-Ala
Source: RNAcentral
GAGGCUUUAGCUUAAUUAAAGUGUCUGAGUUGCAUUCAGGGAUGUAUAUUAAAGUUAUACAGGCCUUC